RNAcentral lists this ribosomal RNA (253 nucleotides) under uncultured bacterium. Its description in RNAcentral is "partial 16S ribosomal RNA". It matches the Rfam family "Bacterial small subunit ribosomal RNA", at positions 524 to 776 of the family's 1533-position model. The record is from RNAcentral.
UACGAAGGGGGCUAGCGUUGCUCGGAAUCACUGGGCGUAAAGGGUGCGUAGGCGGGUCUUUAAGUCAGGGGUGAAAUCCUGGAGCUCAACUCCAGAACUGCCUUUGAUACUGAGGAUCUUGAGUAUGGGAGAGGUGAGUGGAACUGCGAGUGUAGAGGUGAAAUUCGUAGAUAUUCGCAAGAACACCAGUGGCGAGGGCGGCUCACUGGCCCGGUACUGACGCUGAGGUGCGAAAGCGUGGGGAGCAAACAGG